Molecule: ribosomal RNA, 460 nt
Filed under: uncultured bacterium
Lineage: Bacteria
Description: partial 16S ribosomal RNA
Rfam family: Bacterial small subunit ribosomal RNA
Source: RNAcentral
CCUACGGGAGGCUGCAGUGAGGAAUAUUGGUCAAUGGACGAGAGUCUGAACCAGCCAAGUAGCGUGAAGGAUGACUGCCCUAUGGGUUGUAAACUUCUUUUAUAUGGGAAUAAAACGUUCCACGUGUGGGAUUUUGUAUGUACCAUAUGAAUAAGGAUCGGCUAACUCCGUGCCAGCAGCCGCGGUAAUACGGAGGAUCCGAGCGUUAUCCGGAUUUAUUGGGUUUAAAGGGAGCGUAGGUGGAUUGUUAAGUCAGUUGUGAAAGUUUGCGGCUCAACCGUAAAAUUGCAGUUGAAACUGGCAGUCUUGAGUACAGUAGAGGUGGGCGGAAUUCGUGGUGUAGCGGUGAAAUGCUUAGAUAGCACGAAGAACUCCGAUUGCGAAGGCAGUUCACUGGACUGCAACUGACACUGAGGCUCGAAAGUGUGGGUAUCAAACAGGAUUAGAUACCCCAGUAGUC